AGGACACAGCACGGCCCACACGGUGGACAGGUGGCCGGGGGCCCCUUUCCCCCUCUAGCGCACACCCCCCUCACCGGCACCAGGCAGUGGGGAGGGGGUCCCAGGUUCCCUGACAGAGGGAGGCAGGGCACGGGGGAGCCGGCCUCGCCCAGCGGACGGCAUGGGCCGGGGCAGACAGCAGAGCGGGGACCCUAGGGCCACAGACCGGUACAGGGUUCCACCACCCGGGGACACAGGCCCAAGCACCGUGCCACUAAGAUGGGGUCUGCAGAGGCAAAGCCUUGCUGCAGCCUCUCCCACUCUGCGAGGAUGGCGGGGGUCUGCUAUGUGGUUUGCGGGGGUUAUCCUGGUAUGCGGGAGCUGCCUUCCAAUAAGGCUGGGGAACCCAAGCCUGAGUCUGGGUGCUCAGUGGCUGAGAGCACCGGUGUGGGCUGGGAGGGCACACGCAGAGGCUCAGGAGCCCUGGGCUCUGUUCUGCUUCUGUCUGCUCUCUAUAGACACGGUGAUGGCCUCUUGGUCCCUGCAGCCUCCAGUGAUGGCAGCCUGGGCCCCUGACAGGGAGCAGUGGGAGGUUGGAGCAUGUGGUGACUCCUAGCAUGGGCCCCCACCCAGUGGGCAACCCCUCACCCACCUGCUGAUGGCAGGGAGGGGCAGCUGAACAGCACCCUGGGUGGCUGUGAGACUGCCUCCCAGCCCACGUGGGAACCACGGCCUCAAGAGCCACAGGCUGAGCUGCCGGGAGGGUGGGCUGAGGGGCCACCACUGGUCACCGGGUGGAUUCUGCUGGUCAGAGAUGAGAGCAGAAGCCCCUAGCUGCCCCAGGCACUGGAGGGUGGGGCAGGGAGCUGGUGCUUCAAGAAUUGAGGGCAGGGACACGACAAACUCAGGGCCCUGCAGUGCUGGCUGGGGAAGCAAGCUUUUACACACGGCCCGCCUUGCUCGGAGGUGCCACGGUGUUUGAAAUGAAGCCUGGGGGGACAGACUCAGGCAGGCAGGGGAAGCUCCUUUCUGGGCACCCCUGGACCCCAGUGGGGCCGGAAGGAGAUGCAGACAGGCCUCCUCACAACCACCCGCAACGCGUUCGGAUGCCCCUCAGCUCCAGGCACC
This 1107-nucleotide long non-coding RNA is filed under the name Pan troglodytes (chimpanzee). RNAcentral describes it as "long non-coding RNA NONPTRT012350". The record is from RNAcentral. Lineage: Eukaryota; Metazoa; Chordata; Mammalia; Primates; Hominidae.